RNAcentral lists this ribosomal RNA (253 nucleotides) under uncultured bacterium. RNAcentral's name for it is "partial 16S ribosomal RNA". It matches the Rfam family "Bacterial small subunit ribosomal RNA", at positions 524 to 776 of the family's 1533-position model. The record is from RNAcentral.
UACGUAGGGUGCAAGCGUUGUCCGGAAUUAUUGGGCGUAAAGAGCUCGUAGGCGGUUUGUUGCGUCGGCUGUGAAAUCCCGAGGCUCAACCUCGGGUCUGCAGUCGAUACGAGCAAACUAGAGUGUUGCAGGGGAGACUGGAAUUCCUGGUGUAGCGGUGAAAUGCGCAGAUAUCAGGAGGAACACCGGUGGCGAAGGCGGGUCUCUGGUCAGCAACUGACGCUGAGGAGCGAAAGCGUGGGGAGCGAACAGG